This 98-nucleotide transfer RNA is filed under the name Lasius niger. It matches the Rfam family "tRNA". From Rfam's summary of the family: Transfer RNA (tRNA) molecules are approximately 80 nucleotides in length. Their secondary structure includes four short double-helical elements and three loops (D, anti-codon, and T loops). Further hydrogen bonds mediate the characteristic L-shaped molecular structure. tRNAs have two regions of fundamental functional importance: the anti-codon, which is responsible for specific mRNA codon recognition, and the 3' end, to which the tRNAs corresponding amino acid is attached (by aminoacyl-tRNA synthetases). tRNAs cope with the degeneracy of the genetic code in two manners: having more than one tRNA (with a specific anti-codon) for a particular amino acid; and 'wobble' base-pairing, i.e. permitting non-standard base-pairing at the 3rd anti-codon position. Lineage: Eukaryota; Metazoa; Arthropoda; Insecta; Hymenoptera; Formicidae. The record is from Rfam by way of RNAcentral.
CCUUCGAUAGCUCAGUUGGUAGAGCGGUGGACUGUAGUUUGUUUGAUUGUUUGAAAAGAGACAUCCAUAGGUCGCUGGUUCGACUCCGGCUCGAAGGA